UACGUAGGGUGCAAGCGUUGUCCGGAAUUAUUGGGCGUAAAGAGCUCGUAGGCGGUUUGUCGCGUCUGCUGUGAAAUCCCGAGGCUCAACCUCGGGUCUGCAGUGGGUACGGGCAGACUAGAGUGUGGUAGGGAGAUUGGAAUUCCUGGUGUAGCGGUGAAAUGCGCAGAUAUCAGGAGGAACACCGAUGGCGAAGGCAGAUCUCUGGGCCGUAACUGACGCUGAGGAGCGAAAGCAUGGGGAGCGAACAGG
This 252-nucleotide ribosomal RNA is filed under the name uncultured bacterium. Its description in RNAcentral is "partial 16S ribosomal RNA". It matches the Rfam family "Bacterial small subunit ribosomal RNA", at positions 524 to 776 of the family's 1533-position model. The record is from RNAcentral.